RNAcentral lists this ribosomal RNA (492 nucleotides) under uncultured bacterium. RNAcentral's name for it is "partial 16S ribosomal RNA". It matches the Rfam family "Bacterial small subunit ribosomal RNA", at positions 29 to 507 of the family's 1533-position model. The record is from RNAcentral.
AGUGAACGCUGGCGGUAGGCCUAACACAUGCAAGUCGAACGGCAGCACAGUAAGAGCUUGCUCUUACGGGUGGCGAGUGGCGGACGGGUGAGGAAUACAUCGGAAUCUACUUUUUCGUGGGGGAUAACGUAGGGAAACUUACGCUAAUACCGCAUACGACCUACGGGUGAAAGCAGGGGAUCUUCGGACCUUUCGCGAUUGAAUGAGCCGAUGUCGGAUUAGCUAGUUGGCGGGGUAAAGGCCCACCAAGGCGACGAUCCGUAGCUGGUCUGAGAGGAUGAUCAGCCACACUGGAACUGAGACACGGUCCAGACUCCUACGUGAGGCAGCAGUGGGGAAUAUUGGACAAUGGGCGCAAGCCUGAUCCAGCCAUACCGCGUGGGUGAAGAAGGCCUUCGGGUUGUAAAGCCCUUUUGUUGGGAAAGAAAAGCAGCAGGUUAAUACCCCGCUGUUCUGACGGUACCCAAAGAAUAAGCACCGGCUAACUUCGUG